RNAcentral lists this ribosomal RNA (251 nucleotides) under uncultured bacterium. Its description in RNAcentral is "partial 16S ribosomal RNA". It matches the Rfam family "Bacterial small subunit ribosomal RNA", at positions 80 to 334 of the family's 1533-position model. The record is from RNAcentral.
CCAAAAGCUGGCGACCGGCGCACGGGUGAGUAACACGUAUCCAACCUGCCUCAUACUCGGGGAUAGCCUUUCGAAAGAAAGAUUAAUAUCCGAUAGCAUAUAUUUCCCGCAUGGGUUUUAUAUUAAAGAAAUUCGGUAUGAGAUGGGGAUGCGUUCCAUUAGUUUGUUGGGGGGUAACGGCCCACCAAGACUAUGAUGGAUAGGGGUUCUGAGAGGAAGGUCCCCCACAUUGGAACUGAGACACGGUCCAA